RNAcentral lists this ribosomal RNA (252 nucleotides) under uncultured bacterium. RNAcentral's name for it is "partial 16S ribosomal RNA". It matches the Rfam family "Bacterial small subunit ribosomal RNA", at positions 524 to 776 of the family's 1533-position model. The record is from RNAcentral.
UACGUAGGGUGCAAGCGUUAAUCGGAAUUACUGGGCGUAAAGCGUGCGCAGGCGGUUGUGCAAGACCGAUGUGAAAUCCCCGGGCUUAACCUGGGAAUGGCAUUUGGGACUGCAAGGCUUGAGUUUGGCAGAGGAGACUGGAAUUCCUGGUGUAGCAGUGAAAUGCGUAGAUAUCAGGAGGAAUACCGAUGGCGAAGGCAGGUCUCUGGGCUAGAACUGACGCUCAUGCACGAAGCGUGGGGAGCAAACAGG